Cucurbita maxima (winter squash) is the source of this 460-nucleotide long non-coding RNA. RefSeq lists it as uncharacterized. The transcript is spliced from 3 exons. The record is from RefSeq and is a predicted model, not a curated record. Lineage: Eukaryota; Viridiplantae; Streptophyta; Magnoliopsida; Cucurbitales; Cucurbitaceae.
UAGUCCAUUGAGACAGGCCUAGGCAAUACAUGAGCCCUCAGGUGGGUCCUCGUGCUCGUGGUUCGGUCGUGUGUAGAAAAGUACUAUACAUCCAACCUUGCCGGAACUAAAAAGCUACCUAAGGCAAUGCCAUUAGAACCUAUCAUGUCACAUGUGUAAACGUUAGGCACAAAGGUCGGAUGGCGACGCCGUGACGAAAGCCAUGGAACUAGAGGUUAAUAUCGAAAUCGAGAAAAUACAGGCAAAUAUAGGUCAAACAAAUGGAAAAAGAAGUAUCACUCGUUGGUUAUGGACCAACAUAUGCACAAAUAUCAUGCACGACUACAUACGCGCAGAGGCGGUCGCAUGCGUAAAGGUGGUAUGAAUCUCAAAUUGGGUCAGACACAUAGGGUGCAGGUCACGAUUUGAGUCGGACACAGACAAUCGAGUCUGAAAUUUGUAACUUGUGUGUCGUCAAUGA